AAAAAGGGGACGCGGCGAACACAGCUAAACCUGCUUCUUGUUUAGGUGCCGGCUGCGCCAGUGGUAGUGGGAGUAGCGACAGCGUUGGUCUGCGGAAGAGCUACAGGUCCUGGUGUGGUUCUCUUCGUGGCGCUGCGGGCGGGGGAGGACCGCGUUCCUCGGAGGAUCCUAACGGCGGUAGGGAGCGCUUGCUGAGGCACAAGCAGUUGCGGCCGGCGGUGACGAAGGAAGCUAGACGUGGCGAGGCUGGAGGAAGCCGAAGGGGCUCGGGAGGUGCUCGUGGCGGUGAAGCUCUGGCGACGGCUACAGGCACACAAGCUGAUGUAGCUGCUACUGGGAAGGAAGAACAGUCUCGUUGGUCUGCUACCUCGGGUCCUCGGUCCGCGGUGGCAGCUGCUGAUGAUGAUGAUGAGCCCUCCACGGAUGAUGACGCACGUCGGGCGACUGCUGCUGGUCCUCAUCAAAUCCUCCUAGGAUCCGUCCUCCGGACGCGGAGAAAGCUAGACAUAGGGUCAAACACGAUCGGAAGAAUUCCGUUUUAACAAAUUGAAUACAGACAUGA
RNAcentral lists this ribosomal RNA (562 nucleotides) under Triticum aestivum (bread wheat). RNAcentral describes it as "partial small subunit ribosomal RNA". Lineage: Eukaryota; Viridiplantae; Streptophyta; Magnoliopsida; Poales; Poaceae. The record is from RNAcentral.